This 468-nucleotide ribosomal RNA is filed under the name uncultured bacterium. Its description in RNAcentral is "partial 16S ribosomal RNA". It matches the Rfam family "Bacterial small subunit ribosomal RNA", at positions 28 to 507 of the family's 1533-position model. The record is from RNAcentral.
GACGAACGCUGGCGGCGUGCUUAACACAUGCAAGUCGAACGGAAAGGCCCUGCUUUUGUGGGGGGCUCGAGUGGCGAACGUGUGGGUAACACGUGUGUAACCUGCCCUUGACUUUGGGAAAACGUCAAGAAACUGGGGCUAAUAGCGGAUAUGAGCGCCUGCUCCGUGGUGUGGGUUGGAAAGUUUCGGCGGUUGGGGUUGGACUCGCGGCUUAUCAGCUUGUUGGUGGGGUAGUGGGUUACCAAGGCUUUGACGGGUAGCCGGCCUGAGAGGGUGACCGGCGACAUUGGGACUGAGAUACGGCCCAGACUCCUACGGGAGGCAGCAGUGGGGAAUAUUGCACAGUGGGCGGAAGGCUGAUGCAGCAACGCCGCGUGCGGGAUGACGGCCUUCGGGUUGUAAACCGCUUUCGCCUGUGACGAAGCGUGAGUGACGGUAAUGGGUAAAGAAGCACCGGCUAACUACGUG